CGCAUCUGUGCAUGCAGCAUAUCAAUAAGCGGAGGAAAAGAAACUAACAAGGAUUCCCUUAGUGACGGCGAGUGAAGCGGGAAGAGCUCAAAUUUGAAAUCUUCAAGGUUUUACCUUGACGAAUUGUAGUUUAAAGAAGUGUUUUCUGUUGAAGUUUUGGUAAAAGUUCUUUGGAAUAGGACAUCAUAGAGGGUGAGAAUCCCGUAUUUGACCAUUAUUUUCAGCUGUGUGAUACACUUUCAAAGAGUCGGAUUGUUUGGGAAUGCAGUCCAAAAUGGGUGGUAAAUUUCAUCUAAAGCCUAAAUAUUGGCGAGAGACCGAUAGCGAACAAGUACCGUGAGGGAAAGAUGAAAAGAACUUUGAAAAGAGAGUUAAACAGUACGUGAAAUUGUCCAAAAGGGAAGCGUUGUGACACCAGUGUUGUUUUCUCGAAAAUCAAUUAAAAAGAGUUAGAUUUUGUUGUGUAUUGACCUUAACAGCUUGCAUUUCAAUUUUCUUGCUUUUUUUAAUGCACUUUUCGUUUAACAAGUCAACAUCAGUUUCUUUUGUUGUAAAAAGGUCAUUGGAAGGUGGCUUUCUUUUCGGAGAAAGUGUUUAUAGCCUUUGACUCCUGCAAUCGGAGAGACUGAGGUCUGCAGCGUAGAUCCUUCGGGGUUAGAUACAUUUGUGCUAAGUUAUAGCUUUUUAUAGACAACUUGUUGACUAUGAUUAGUCUUGUAGACUUACUCGCUUAUGCUAUUUUACCUACGCUUAGGAUGUUGACGCGCGUGUGUGCGU
Molecule: ribosomal RNA, 777 nt
Filed under: uncultured Neocallimastigales
Lineage: Eukaryota; Fungi; Neocallimastigomycota; Neocallimastigomycetes; Neocallimastigales
Description: partial large subunit ribosomal RNA
Rfam family: Eukaryotic large subunit ribosomal RNA
Source: RNAcentral